Microplitis demolitor is the source of this 567-nucleotide long non-coding RNA. RefSeq lists it as uncharacterized. NCBI's taxonomy places the organism in Eukaryota, Metazoa, Arthropoda, Insecta, Hymenoptera, Braconidae. The transcript is spliced from 3 exons. The record is from RefSeq and is a predicted model, not a curated record.
ACAACAUAAAUGAAAAAAAUUGAUGCCUAUGGUAUAAAAAGGCAGGUAGACAUUUGUAGAUACAUCAUUCGUUUACGAUCUUGUCAGACGACAUCAUUCUUUCAUACUCUGCUAAAUUAACAUAGCCAAAUCAGUAUUUGACGUUUAAAAAUAACACUGAGUCCUAAUAAUUUCAUACAUUGACUCAUAAAAUAAAAUUAUUCUUUGUAUUAAACAAUAAAUUCAUUUUAAUUAGGAAAUCAGGUUUCUGACGAGAAUAAGCCAUUUAAAAAAAUGAAUCGUUCGAUAUCAAUUGUAAUUUUUGCUAUAAUAAUGAUUGCUAUAUUAUUACAAGAAAGUACUGAAGCUGCACCCACUAUUUGUCUUUUAAAAAUCUGUUCGUUUACACCUCACUCAAUACCUCGUACGAAAAAUGGAUAACUUAUCUCAUCACAUACAAGCAGUCAUUAAUCGAUGUUACCUGAUCAUUCGUAUACAUGUGUGAAAAUGUAUUUGUAGUCAAAACAUUUGUAAAAAAUGAUAAAAAUAUAUUUAAUUAUUGAUCAAUUACAUAAAUAAAGAAAUUUG